This is a microRNA precursor of Cricetulus griseus (Chinese hamster), 128 nucleotides long. Lineage: Eukaryota; Metazoa; Chordata; Mammalia; Rodentia; Cricetidae. The record is from Ensembl.
GGUUUCUCUGUGUAGCCUUGGCUAUCCUGCAUCUCACUUUGUAGACCAGGCUGGCCUCGAACUCAAAGAGAUCCACCUGCCUCUGCCUCCCAAGUGCUGGGAUUAAAGGCGUGCACCACCAGUGCCCG